This 468-nucleotide ribosomal RNA is filed under the name uncultured bacterium. Its description in RNAcentral is "partial 16S ribosomal RNA". It matches the Rfam family "Bacterial small subunit ribosomal RNA", at positions 28 to 507 of the family's 1533-position model. The record is from RNAcentral.
GACGAACGCUGGCGGCGUGCUUAACACAUGCAAGUCGAACGGAAAGGCCCUGCGUUUGUGGGGUGCUCGAGUGGCGAACGGGUGAGUAACACGUGAGUAACCUGCCCUUGACUUUGGGAUAACUUCAGGAAACUGGGGCUAAUACCGGAUAGGAGCUACUGCAGCAUGGGGGGGGUUGGAAAGAUUCGGCGGUUGUGGCUGGACUCGCGGCUUAUCAGCUGGUUGGGGGGGUAGGGGAGGACCAGGGCUUUGACGGGUAGCCGGCCUGGGAGGGUGACCGGCCACAUUGGGCCUGCGAUACGGCCCAGACUGCAACGGGACGCAGCAGUGGGGAAUAUUGCACAGUGGGCGGAAGCCUGAUGCAGCAACCCCGCGUGCGGGAUGAUGGCCUUCGGGUGGUAAACCGCUUUCGCCUGUGCCGAAGCGUGAGUGACGGUAAUGGGUAAAGAAGCACCGGCUAACUACGUG